Non-coding RNA from Paramuricea clavata, 67 nucleotides. Lineage: Eukaryota; Metazoa; Cnidaria; Anthozoa; Malacalcyonacea; Plexauridae. The record is from the annotation of a GenBank genome assembly.
UUAGCCUUCCAGUUUAUUUAUAGUUCAAUGGUCCUAGCCAUUGAACUAUAAAUAAACUGGAAGGCUA